UCAGAUUAUUCUGUUAAGGUAGCUUUACAGUAAUGUAAAUUUAACUCACCUUGUCUUUCCUGUCUGGUUUACCUGGCAAGGCUGACAGGUUUUUUUCCCAUGGCCCUAUCGAAGCUGCGUCUGUCUUAUCUGUGACUGAUGUAGUCAAAAAGGUGCCAAAAAUAAUAUUUUUCUUCGACGGUCGCUGUUUGGUUUGUUCUCCCAUAACUCUUCAGCAACAUUUUGGGGAAAAUACAUAUUUUUCGUAGUGAUGGCAUUUUGUAGCUUGAAUGCAGAGCAGCAUAGACAAAUCAGUUCAGAAUUUAUCUGUAUGUCAGUGAAAAUUGCUGGGGUGACAACGUAGCUAUAUUCCCGUAUUUGGGGGACCGCCACAAAGAAGAGGGGAUCAACUUAUUUCCCAAAGCAUCAGAGGGCAAGACAAGAAACAAUGGAGACUAAUCAAGGAGAGAACCUGCCUAGAACAUUUCCUUACAGAGCAAUUAAUCCAUAGAACUGCUUGUCUUCAGAAGUUCCUUCAGCAGGAAAGAAGAUGAGGUGGAUGGCUGCUUUGGAGCUGGACAUGGUGGUUUAUAGAUGUCUGUCUCAACUUGACGUACGGUCUGGCAGUGCUGGAUGAUUGGAGAAGAAGAUGCCCAUUAUCAUCCUCUGUGAAUUUUGAGGCCAGCAGCUGAAGCCUGCAAGAAGAACAGGACAAUGCAGUGACCUUCCAUCUUUCAUCCCGGAGAAGGUCAUCGGGUGGAGUGGACGGCUCAGCAAACGACAGCAAUGUCUUCAGAUAUUUCCUUGGAAUUUGCUACAGGCAUGUUGAAAAAAAAUGGCUUGCUGUGAAGACGGGGGGGGGGGGGGAGGAGCCUUAGCAAAAAUUUCUGAAAUUUCUUUAAAAGCUGUCUGAUAAUAGUUAGACUCCUGCGAGUCUCUUGGACUGCAAGGC
This is a long non-coding RNA of Thamnophis elegans (Western terrestrial garter snake), 931 nucleotides long. RefSeq lists it as uncharacterized. The record is from RefSeq and is a predicted model, not a curated record. NCBI's taxonomy places the organism in Eukaryota, Metazoa, Chordata, Lepidosauria, Squamata, Natricidae. The transcript has 5 exons.